UGGGGAAUAUUGCACAAUGGGCGCAAGCCUGAUGCAGCCAUGCCGCGUGUAUGAAGAAGGCCUUCGGGUUGUAAAGUACUUUCAGCGGGGAGGAAGGGAGUAAAGUUAAUACCUUUGCUCAUUGACGUUACACGCAGAAGAAGCACCGGCUAACUCCGUGCCAGCAGCCGCGGUAAUACGGAGGGUGCAAGCGUUAAUCGGAAUUACUGGGCGUAAAGCGCACGCAGGCGGCUUGUUAAGUCAGAUGUGAAAUCCCCGGGCUCAACCUGGGAACUGCAUCUGAUACUGGCAAGCUUGAGUCUCGUAGAGGGGGGUAGAAUUCCAGGUGUAGCGGUGAAAUGCGUAGAGAUCUGGAGGAAUACCGGUGGCGAAGGCGGCCCCCUGGACAAAGACUGACGCUCAGGUGCGAAAGCGUGGGGAGCAAACAGG
This 429-nucleotide ribosomal RNA is filed under the name Chloroflexota bacterium. RNAcentral describes it as "Chloroflexi bacterium partial 16S ribosomal RNA". It matches the Rfam family "Bacterial small subunit ribosomal RNA", at positions 355 to 776 of the family's 1533-position model. Lineage: Bacteria; Bacillati; Chloroflexota. The record is from RNAcentral.